CUUUAUGUCUAGCUCAGGGAUUGUAAAUACACCAAUCAGCACUCUGUAUCUAGCUCAAGGUUUGUAAACACACCAAUCAGCACCCUGUGUCUAGCUCAGGGUUUGUGAAUGCACCAAUGGACACUCUGUAUCUAGCUACUCUAGUUGGGACGUGGAGAACCUUUAUGUCUAGCUCAGGGUUUGUAAAGGCACCAAUCAGCGCCCUGUCAAAACAGACCACCCAGCUCUACAAAUCAGCAGGAUGUGGGUGGGGCCACAUAAGAAUAAAAGCAGGCUGCUUCCAGCAGCGGUGGCAACUCGCUCGGGUUCCCUUCCACACUGUGGAAGCUUUGUUGUUUCACUCUUCGCAAUAAGUCUUGCUGCUGCUCACUCUUUGGGUCCACACUGCUUUUAUGAGCUGUAACACUCACUGCGAAGGUCUGCAGCUUCACCACGAACCCACCGGGAGGAACGAACAACUCUAGAUGCACCGCCUUAGGAGCUGUAACACUCACCGCGGAGGUCCAUGGCUGCACUCCUGAGCCAGCGAGACCACGAACCCCACCAGAAGGAAGAAACUCCGAACACAUCUGAACAUCAGAAGGAACAAACUCCAGACACACUGCCUUUAAGAACGGUAACACUCACCUUGAGGGUCCACAGCUUCAUUCUUGAAGUCAGUGAGACCAAGAACCCACCAAUUCCGGACACACAGGGACAGCAAUCCACCACUUGCCAUGAUGUACGAUCGAAGCCUAUCACCUUUUCUGCAGCAGUGGCUCCAUUAAGUUUCACUCUGUCACCCAGACUGGAGUGCAGUGGCACAAUCUCCACUCAUUGCAGCCUCCGCCUCCCGGAUUCAAGUGAUUCUCCUGCCUCAGCCUCCCCAGUAGCUGGGACUACAGGAGAGCAUCAGUAAAGAUGGCAAGAUUGAAAUCCAAGCAACAAGAUUUCCACUGAAUAGAAAUUUCUGAGGAAAGUGUAAGGACAGGUGUGAGAACUCUGGUGGCAAGGAUGAGGAAGCAUCAUCCCCCUUCUCAAACAGGAAAGAAGAGCCAAGAGACCUGAAAAGGAGCUAGAGCCAAGAAGGUGAAAAGGUGAGAGUUCCCAUUGCAAAUAACCUUCUCUCUGUAAAUAAAAAUGGUAAGGCACCUGCUGAAAGAUGGGAGACCAUGUGUUAAUUUGGGAAUCUGAGUAAUAAUAAAGCUGUUUCUAGCAGUAACUGUGCAGUACACCACAAAGUUGCCAGGCUGCUAAAUUUGGGUUACAGAAAUUUGUGAAGAUGCCAAUUCAGGUUUUUUUGUUUUUAUUAAGAAGGAUACUAGCAAUUCUUAAAUCUGUCAGAUCAGAUUAUCUUAAAAUUUCUGAAGGCUUUUUUUCCACACAAACAAAUAAAUAUUUAUAAAAUGAACUAUAUGCUCAUACCCUUAGUGAAAAUAUACACAUCAACUUAUGACUUAUGUAAGUCAAUUACUAAUUCAACUACUAAUGGGAAAUUGGAUGAACUCAGUAAAAUUGUCUUACCUAUGUCUCUUGAGUUUCUCUUUCUAUUACAUGCGAAAUUACAAUAAAACCUUGACUAC
Molecule: long non-coding RNA, 1562 nt
Organism: Pongo pygmaeus (Bornean orangutan)
Lineage: Eukaryota; Metazoa; Chordata; Mammalia; Primates; Hominidae
Exons: 3
Source: RefSeq, a predicted model, not a curated record